UAUUGGUCAAUGGACGAGAGUCUGAACCAGCCAAGUAGCGUGAAGGAUGACUGCCCUAUGUGUUGUAAACUUCUUUUAUAUGGGAAUAAAACAGGGUAUGCAUACCCUCUUGUAUGUACCAUAUGAAUAAGGAUCGGCUAACUCCGUGCCAGCAGCCGCGGUAAUACGGAGGAUCCGAGCGUUAUCCGGAGUUAUUGGGUUUAAAGGGUGCGUAGGCUGUGAGGUAAGUCAGCGGUGAAAUGCCCCCGCUCAACGGGGUGAAGUGCCAUUGAUACUGCCUUGCUGGAAUGCGGAUGCCGUGGGAGGAAUGUGUGGUGUAGCGGUGAAAUGCAUAGAUAUCACACAGAACACCGAUUGCGAAGGCAUCUCACGAAUCCGCGAUUGACGCUGAUGCACGAAAGCGUGGGUAUCAAAC
Molecule: ribosomal RNA, 415 nt
Filed under: uncultured bacterium
Lineage: Bacteria
Description: bacterial SSU rRNA
Rfam family: Bacterial small subunit ribosomal RNA
Source: RNAcentral